Molecule: ribosomal RNA, 471 nt
Filed under: uncultured bacterium
Lineage: Bacteria
Description: bacterial SSU rRNA
Rfam family: Bacterial small subunit ribosomal RNA
Source: RNAcentral
GAUGAACGCUAGCUACAGGCUUAACACAUGCAAGUCGAGGGGCAGCGCAGUGUAGCAAUACAUGGGCGGCGACCGGCGCACGGGUGCGUAACGCGUAUCCAACCUUCCCGUUACUCAGGGAUAGCCUUCCGAAAGGGAGAUUAAUACCUGAUGGUGUUUGAAUUCCGCAUGUUAUUCAAACUAAAGAUUCAUCGGUAACGGAUGGGGAUGCGUGACAUUAGAUAGUAGGCGGGGUAACGGCCCACCUAGUCUACGAUCAGUAGCCGGUCUGAGAGGAUGAACGGCCACAUUGGGACUGAGAUACGGCCCAGACUCCUACGGGAGGCAGCAGUGGGGAAUAUUGGGCAAUGGGGGAAACCCUGACCCAGCAACGCCGCGUGAAGGAAGAAGGGCCUUCGGGUUGGUAAACUUCUUUUACCUAGGACGAAGAACGUGACGGUACCUGGAGAAAAAGCAACGGCUAACUACGUG